This is a transfer RNA of 90 nucleotides. It matches the Rfam family "tRNA". From Rfam's summary of the family: Transfer RNA (tRNA) molecules are approximately 80 nucleotides in length. The record is from Rfam.
GACUCCGUGGCCAAGUUGGUUAAGGCGUGCGACUGUUAAAACAAUUAGCAGGUUAUCGCAAGAUCGUCAGUUCAAUCCUGACCGGGGUCG